AACGUGCUAGGGUCUUCUUCCACGCUGUGGAAGCUUUGUUCUUUCACUCUUUGCAAUAAAUCUUGCUACUGCUCACUCUUUGGGUCCACACUGUUUUUAUGAGCUGUAACACUCACCACGAAGAUCUGCAGCUUCACUCCUGAGCCCAGCGAGACCAUGAGCCCACCGGGAGGAACGAACAACUCCAGACGCUCUGCCUUAAGAGCUGUAACACUCACUGCGAAGGUCUGCAGCUUCACUCCUGAGCCAGUGAGACCAUGGACCCACCAGAAAGAAGAAACUCCGAACACAUCUGAACAUCAGAAGGAACAAACUCCAGAUGUGCCACCUUAAGAGCUGUAACACUCACCGUGAGGGUCCGCAGCUUCAUUCUUGAAGUCAGUGAGACCAAGAACCCACCAAUUCCGGACACAGUUACGACUAAAAUCAGACUUUGGGAUCCUGAUCCAGCAUAGACAGCCCUUCAGCCUGCAGUGCUUUCCACUGCAUUUAUUAAUUCAUUAAUCCAUCCAUCAAAUAUUACUACAGUGCAGUGGUUGAGAUCACAGACCCUAGAGUUAGACUGUUUACCUUAGAAUCUUGCCCCCACCACUUACUAUCUAUGUGAUAAAGAAACUGUUCCUGUUUCCACAUCUGCAAAACAAUUGUGUCUACUUCAUAGUUCAGGUCAUCAAAAUAUUUCCUGUAAUUUUCCCACCCAAAAUAGACAUACAUUAUCUUUUUAAACAGGAAGACAAGAAGCAAGAGAUUUCAGGACUGGGGUCACAGGUUCAACAAUCCCAUCCAAGUGCCUGGUCUAUCUUUCCUGAAUGUUUUUAAAGCCCCAUGGUGAAGUAGAUUCACAAAAGCAGCAAGUCAAUCCAGUCCUUUCUGCUGGGGACCAGAUGCCUUAAAGGGAGGGUU
Molecule: long non-coding RNA, 903 nt
Filed under: Homo sapiens (human)
Lineage: Eukaryota; Metazoa; Chordata; Mammalia; Primates; Hominidae
Description: HSALNT0408543
Source: RNAcentral